GGAUUAGGCAUGCAAGUCGAACGAAUCCCCGGAGCUUGCUCCGGGGGGAAGUGGCGAAAGGGGCAGUAAUGCGUGGGUAACCUACCCUGGGGACGAGGAUAGCCGUUCUAACGGACGGGUAAUACUCGGCGAUUCGGCGACGGGACAUCCCGAUGCCGGGAAAUGAGUUUCGCCUCGGGAGGGGCUCACGUGAUAUUAGCUUGUUGGUGAGGUAACGGCUCACCAAGGCGAAGAUGUCUAGCGGGUGUGAGAGCACGACCCGCGCCACUGGCACUGAGACACUGGCCAGACUCCUACGGGAGGCUGCAGUCGAGGAUCUUCGGCAAUGGGCGCAAGCCUGACCGAGCGACGCCGCGUGUGCGAUGAAGGCCUUCGGGUUGUAAAGCACUGUCGAGGGGGAGGAAGCCGCAAGGUUGACCUAUCCCUGGAGGAAGCACGGGCUAAGUUCGUGCCAGCAGCCGCGGUAAGACAAACCGUGCGAACGUUAUUCGGAAUCACUGGGCUUAAAGGGCGCGUAGGCGGGCGGGCAAGUCUGCGGUGAAAGCCUCCAGCUCAACUGGAGAAGUGCCGUGGAUAAUGCUGGUCUCGAGGAGGGUAGGGGCAUCUGGAACGUUGGGUGGAGCGGUGAAAUGCGUUGAUAUCCAACGGAACUCCGGUGGCGAAGGCGAGGUGCUGGACCCUUUCUGACGCUGAGGCGCGAAAGCCAGGGGAGCGAACGGGAUUAGAUACCCCGGUAGUCCUGGCCCUAAACGUUGAGAACUAGGUAGUGGACUUAACAUGGGUUCACUGUCGAAGCAAAAGUGCUAAGUUCUCCGCCUGGGGAGUAUGGUCGCAAGGC
RNAcentral lists this ribosomal RNA (838 nucleotides) under uncultured planctomycete clone27. RNAcentral's name for it is "bacterial SSU rRNA". It matches the Rfam family "Bacterial small subunit ribosomal RNA", at positions 46 to 894 of the family's 1533-position model. Lineage: Bacteria; Pseudomonadati; Planctomycetota; Planctomycetia; Planctomycetales. The record is from RNAcentral.